GAGCAAAAAUUCGAGAUCGGUCCAUAAACGAGCUCGAGUUCAAUUCACAGUCCGUCCGACUCGAGUGCUCGACGAGCGGCUCGAGUAUGCGGAACGACGGAAGUGCGAAAGGCGGCAAAGCCAAAUGCUAAGGCGGAAUCAGAACUUUUGGUCACGGGCCUCACGGCGGAAUGGGCGGAUAAGCCAAAGUCCAAAACGAAAAAUAUUUUAAAACUUUUGUUGUGAACCGGUUCAUUAGGUUUUUUUGUCCGAGUCGUGAGAAGCAUUGGGGCGUCGUUCCUGUUCGUGACCUAGGCUUCUCUUCGUCGUCUUCCGUUCUUCAUGCGAGAGGCGACUUGGGAAUAGACACUUCCUCAUCUCUCCGUCUGGAAGCAAGAUCUAUAACAUCAGUUAGGAGAACUGAUCUUGAACUUCAGAUUCGAUUUUCAAAAGAAGUGGUUGCCGGCAUGCUGGUGAACUUGUGUUGUUACUAAAGAUUUUAUUACGAGAAGGGUCUUAAAGAUUCAUAUUUGAGCUCUAAAGAGAAGAUGUCACCAGAACCAAUUGUUCAAGAUAACAUUAGUGAGGAGAUUAUUUUGGAGACGGUAGAUGAAGUACCAUCUAGUAGCAUACAAAGAAAUAUUGGGUUAAAUGAAAAUGAUGACGUAGUGGAAGAAAAUAAGGUUGUAGAAGAUAUCAUCUGUGAGCAAGAAGAAGAAGCAAAUCCUGUUGCAAUAAAAAAACGAAAGAUAAAAUCAAUUUACUGUUCUUGAAUUGUUAAUAUAAACCUGCUAAAUUAAUUUACUGUUCUUGCAUAUCAAUGAUAGAAUCAUGUUAUUUGUGGAAUGUGGAUUCUAAGACAUGCCGUUUCAUUGCUAUAAAUUAGAUAGGUCAUAGGAGUAUAGGACUGAUUCUCUGAAUAUAAUAACUCUUCAAUUGUUUUCAUGUUUGUAAGUUUAAUUAGGCACAUAAAGUAAAGUGAUUUUUUUUAUGAGCAGUCAAUUGACAGUUAUAA
Long non-coding RNA from Dendrobium catenatum, 994 nucleotides. RefSeq lists it as uncharacterized. The record is from RefSeq and is a predicted model, not a curated record. NCBI's taxonomy places the organism in Eukaryota, Viridiplantae, Streptophyta, Magnoliopsida, Asparagales, Orchidaceae. The transcript has 4 exons.